GUGCUCACUUUGGCAGCACAUAUACCAAAAUUGGAACGAUACAGAAAAAAUCAGCUUGGCCCUGCACAAGGAUGACAUGAAAGUCUGUGAAGCUUUCUGUAUUUUU
RNAcentral lists this small nuclear RNA (106 nucleotides) under Dasypus novemcinctus (nine-banded armadillo). Lineage: Eukaryota; Metazoa; Chordata; Mammalia; Cingulata; Dasypodidae. The record is from RNAcentral.